Long non-coding RNA from Phyllopteryx taeniolatus (common seadragon), 551 nucleotides. RefSeq lists it as uncharacterized. Lineage: Eukaryota; Metazoa; Chordata; Actinopteri; Syngnathiformes; Syngnathidae. The transcript is spliced from 3 exons. The record is from RefSeq and is a predicted model, not a curated record.
CCGAUGUUAUCCAGGAUCAGGUCGAACCUUUGUGAGGCGGAGGACGGGUGGCGGGGGUAAAGAGAGGCAUCGGUCAUCCCGCCAACGAAUGCGAGCUCCAAAUCCAACGCUUAUACCAACAUAGGACGUUUGCAUUCGUGAUUGACUCCGGCGUGUUCCGGCUUGCGCGCAAGUUGUGUCACCGCUGUAAGAACGGAGCGAGGACAAGGGGCUUGUGACUCAAUACAAUUCUUUUGGGGAAUUAAGAAGAAGAGAAAAAAAAAAGCUACUAAGAUGCAUCGGCCAACAUCCCCCGGACUCACGCCUGUGGUGUCCUUGAGCGAGACAGUGAUGCCCCGCCCGAACUGCUGCCCCCUGCUCCGUCCGGUGUGUUCCGCUAACAAGUGUGUGUGUGUUCACUGUGAUGGGUAAAAUGCAGAGAACACAUUUCGUGCGCAUGCAUGCAUGCAUGCAUGGUCAUGACAAUAAAGGUCAUUUCUUCUUCUCUCUCGACUAGAAUUUCUUUGGAUCGUGUCGCAUCUUUUUUAGAUCUCGAUUUUGCCAGGACAUAU